Molecule: ribosomal RNA, 465 nt
Filed under: uncultured Klebsiella sp.
Lineage: Bacteria; Pseudomonadati; Pseudomonadota; Gammaproteobacteria; Enterobacterales; Enterobacteriaceae
Description: bacterial SSU rRNA
Rfam family: Bacterial small subunit ribosomal RNA
Source: RNAcentral
CCUACGGGUGGCAGCAGUGGGGAAUAUUGCACAAUGGGCGCAAGCCUGAUGCAGCCAUGCCGCGUGUGUGAAGAAGGCCUUCGGGUUGUAAAGCACUUUCAGCGGGGAGGAAGGCGGUGAGGUUAAUAACCUUAGCGAUUGACGUUACCCGCAGAAGAAGCACCGGCUAACUCCGUGCCAGCAGCCGCGGUAAUACGGAGGGUGCAAGCGUUAAUCGGAAUUACUGGGCGUAAAGCGCACGCAGGCGGUCUGUCAAGUCGGAUGUGAAAUCCCCGGGCUCAACCUGGGAACUGCAUUCGAAACUGGCAGGCUAGAGUCUUGUAGAGGGGGGUAGAAUUCCAGGUGUAGCGGUGAAAUGCGUAGAGAUCUGGAGGAAUACCGGUGGCGAAGGCGGCCCCCUGGACAAAGACUGACGCUCAGGUGCGAAAGCGUGGGGAGCAAACAGGAUUAGAUACCCCAGUAGUC